CGCGGCCUAUCAGCUUGUUGGCGGGGUAAUGGCCCACCAAGGCAACGACGGGUAGCUGGUCUGAGAGGAUGGUCAGCCACACUGGGACUGAGACACGGCCCAGACUCCUACGGGAGGCAGCAGUGGGGAAUCUUGCGCAAUGGGCGAAAGCCUGACGCAGCAACGCCGCGUGCGGGAAGAAGGCUUUCGGGCUGUAAACCGCUUUCAGCAGGAACGAAAAUGACGGUACCUGCAGAAGAAGGAGCGGCCAACUAUGUGCCAGCAGCCGCGGUGAUACAUAGGCUUCAAGCGUUGUCCGGAUUUAUUGGGCGUAAAGAGUUCGUAGGCGGUCGAGUAAGUCGGGUGUGAAAAUUCUGGGCUCAACCCAGAGACGCCACCCGAUACUGCUUAACUUGAGUUCGAUAGGGGAGUGGGGAAUUCCUAGUGUAGCGGUGAAAUGCGCAGAUAUUAGGAGGAACACCGGUGGCGAAGGCGCCACUCUGGAUCGACACUGACGCUGAGGAACGAAAGCAUGGGUAGCAAACAGGAUUAGAUACCCUGGUAGUCCAUGCGGUAAACGGUGGGCACUAGGUGUGGGUUUCUAUUAACGAAAUCCGCGCCGUCGCUAACGCAUUAAGUGCCCCGCCUGGGGAGUACGG
Molecule: ribosomal RNA, 638 nt
Filed under: uncultured Actinomycetes bacterium
Lineage: Bacteria; Bacillati; Actinomycetota; Actinomycetes
Description: bacterial SSU rRNA
Rfam family: Bacterial small subunit ribosomal RNA
Source: RNAcentral